This 468-nucleotide ribosomal RNA is filed under the name uncultured bacterium. Its description in RNAcentral is "partial 16S ribosomal RNA". It matches the Rfam family "Bacterial small subunit ribosomal RNA", at positions 28 to 507 of the family's 1533-position model. The record is from RNAcentral.
GACGAACGCUGGCGGCGUGCUUAACACAUGCAAGUCGAGCGGAAAGGCCCUGCGUUUGUGGGGUGCUCGAGUGGCGAACGGGUGAGUAACACGCGUGUAUCCUGCCCUUGUCUUUGGGGUAUCUUCAGGAAACUGGGGCUAUUACCGGAUAGGAGCUCUUGCUGCGUGUUGGGGGUUGGAAAGUUUCGGCGGUUGGGGAUGGACUCGCGGCUUAUCCGCUUGAUGGUGGGGUAGUGGCUUACCAAGGCUUUGACGGGUAGCCGGCCUGAGAGGGUGGCCGGCCACAUUGGGACUAAGAUACGGACCAGACGCGUACGGGAGGCAGCAGGGGGGAAUAUUGCACAAUGGGCGGAAGCCGGAUGCAGCAACGCCGCGUGCGGGAUGACGGCCUUCGGGGGGUAAACCGCUGUCGACGGUGACGAAGCGUGAGUGACGGUAAUGGGUAAAGAAGCAACGGCUAACUACGUG